GCUGGCGGCNCGCUUAAACAUGCAAGUCGAACGUGAAGCCCGGGCUUGCCCGGGUGGAAAGUGGCGAACGGGUGCGUAACACGUGAGCAACCUGCCCCGAAGACCGGGAUAACACCGGGAAACCGGUGCUAAUACCGGAUGUCUUCACCACGUCGCAUGGCGAGGUGAAGAAAUGGAUUCCGCUUCGGGAUGGGCUCGCGGCCUAUCAGCUUGUUGGUGGGGUAACGGCCUACCAAGGCAACGACGGGUAGCUGGUCUGAGAGGAUGUCCAGCCACACUGGGACUGAGACACGGCCCAGACUCCUACGGGAGGCAGCAGUUAGGAAUCUUGCGCAAUGGGCGAAAGCCUGACGCAGCGAUGCCGCGUGCGGGAUGAAGGCCUUCGGGUCGUAAACCGCUUUCAGCAGGGACGAUUGUGACGGUACCUGCAGAAGAAGCCCCGGCCAACUACGUGCCAGCAGCCGCGGUAAUACGUAGGGGGCGAGCGUUGUCCGGAUUUAUUGGGCGUAAAGAGCUCGUAGGCGGUUUGGUAAGUCGGGUGUGAAAUCUCCACGCUCAACGUGGAGGGGCCACUCGAUACUGCCAUGACUCGAGUCCGGUAGAGGAGUGUGGAAUUCCCGGUGUAGCGGUGAAA
RNAcentral lists this ribosomal RNA (634 nucleotides) under uncultured soil bacterium. RNAcentral's name for it is "bacterial SSU rRNA". It matches the Rfam family "Bacterial small subunit ribosomal RNA", at positions 35 to 686 of the family's 1533-position model. The record is from RNAcentral.